UACCAGAGUGGAUCCACAACUGCGAAUCACUUCAAGUGCUUGAAAUUUGUGGAUGCUCCAGAUUGGCAUCACUCCCCGAAGGAAUGCGUAGGCUAACGUCUUUGCAGAAGCUAACAAUUGUAGAUUGUCCCAUCCUAUUGCAAAGAUGCAAGAGACACACAGGUGAGGAUUGGCCCAAGAUCGCUCACAUUCCAGAGUUAGACUUACAGUAUCCACCUCAGCAAGAAGAAAAUUUGAUCACCCAUGUACUUUCGACUGAUUCAGAUGCAGAAGCGGUAUAACAAAUUGAAGCAUAGGCGAAACAGGGGAUUGGAAGGUUGUUAAAAAAAUAUAGGGCACUGCAUACGUGAUUCUUCACAUUUUAGGAGAAAUAGUUGAGUGAAAACUAGCACUUGAUGAACUCGAGCAAAUAUUUUACGGAAGAUCCAAUCUGUAAACAACACUCGGAGAACAGCCUUGCUGCACUGGUUUCUCAUGAGAAUUCAGGGGCUUCUUGAAUCAAAACAGAGUGAUGUCAUUUUCUUGGGAGGGUCAAAUUUGGCAAUUGAAUGAGUACUCAAAGAGGAAAUGCCAUGUACAAAAGCAGCCUAAAUCAAGGAAUGAACCAUAAAUCAAGGAGAACGUAGCUAGUUCUUGGAUAUGAUUCCUUGUGAAGCAUAGGUUCACGUUUAAAUAUUGUGAAUCAAUAUUGUGUUAAUUUUUCUCAAUAUGCUUGUAAAACAAAUUCUCAAUUAUUUUCAUCUUAUGCUUUUCCAACUGCAAUAAUUUUAAUAAUGAACAACUACUAGACAUGUGAAUUGAUCAUUUCAGCAAGUUUGUGAAGUUCUUAUUUUCAUUAGCUUUCCCUUUUGUGUGAAAUCCAAACAUGGAAGAGAAUGAAUUGGUGAUAAAGGCCUUUAAUUAGUUCAUGUAAUAAGAACAUGAGUUGUUGAUAUUAGACUGAUUAAUUAGCUGUU
Corylus avellana is the source of this 956-nucleotide non-coding RNA. Lineage: Eukaryota; Viridiplantae; Streptophyta; Magnoliopsida; Fagales; Betulaceae. The record is from RefSeq and is a predicted model, not a curated record.